RNAcentral lists this transfer RNA (67 nucleotides) under Taeniacara candidi. RNAcentral's name for it is "tRNA-Ser". The record is from RNAcentral. Lineage: Eukaryota; Metazoa; Chordata; Actinopteri; Cichliformes; Cichlidae.
GAGAGAGGUUCGACUACAUCCAAGACUGCUAAUCUUAGUCCCCCAGGUUUAACUCCAGGGCUCCCUC